GACGAACGCUGGCGGCGUGCUUAACACAUGCAAGUCGAACGGAAAGGCCCUUCUUUUGUGGGGUGCUCGAGUGGCGAACGGGUGAGUAACACGUGAGUAACCUGCCCUUCACUUUGGGAUAACCUCAGGAAACUGGGGCUAAUACCGGAUAGGAGCUUCUUCUGCAUGGUGUGGGUUGGAAAGUUUCGGCGGUUGGGGAUGUACUCGCGGCUUAUCAGCUUGUUGGUGGGGUAGUGGCUUACCAAGGCUUUGACGGGUAGCCGGCCUGAGAGGGUGAACGGCCACAUUGGGACUGAGAUACGGCCCAGACUCCUACGGGAGGCAGCAGUGGGGAAUAUUGCACAAUGGGCGGAAGCCUGAUGCAGCAACGCCGCGUGCGGGAUGACGGCCUUCGGGUUGUAAACCGCUUUCGCCUGUGACGAAGCGUGAGUGACGGUAAUGGGUAAAGAAGCACCGGCUAACUACGUG
Molecule: ribosomal RNA, 468 nt
Filed under: uncultured bacterium
Lineage: Bacteria
Description: partial 16S ribosomal RNA
Rfam family: Bacterial small subunit ribosomal RNA
Source: RNAcentral